Molecule: transfer RNA, 67 nt
Filed under: Marmota monax (woodchuck)
Lineage: Eukaryota; Metazoa; Chordata; Mammalia; Rodentia; Sciuridae
Description: tRNA.Ala
Source: RNAcentral
GGUUGUGGCUCAGUGGUAAAGCGUUUGCCUAGCAUACAUGAGGCACUGGGUUCGCUUCUCAGCACCA